RNAcentral lists this ribosomal RNA (467 nucleotides) under uncultured bacterium. Its description in RNAcentral is "partial 16S ribosomal RNA". It matches the Rfam family "Bacterial small subunit ribosomal RNA", at positions 29 to 507 of the family's 1533-position model. The record is from RNAcentral.
ACGAACGCUGGCGGCGUGCUUAACACAUGCCAGUCGCACGGAAAGGCCCUGCUUUUGUGGGGUGCUCGAGUGGCGAACGGGUGAGUAACACGUGAGUAACCUGCCCUUGACUUUGGGAUAACUUCAGGAAACUGGGGCUAAUACCGGAUAGGAGCUCCUGCUGCAUGGUGGGGGUUGGAAAGUUUCGGCGGUUGGGGAUGGACUCGCGGCUUAUCAGCUUGUUGGUGGGGUAGUGGCUUACCAAGGCUUUGACGGGUAGCCGGCCUGAGAGGGUGACCGGCCACAUUGGGACUGAGAUACGGCCCAGACUCCUACGGGAGGCAGCAGUGGGGAAUAUUGCACAAUGGGCGGAAGCCUGAUGCAGCAACGCCGCGUGCGGGAUGACGGCCUUCGGGUUGUAAACCGCUUUCGCCUGUGGCGAAGCGUGAGUGACGGUAAUGGGUAAAGAAGCACCGGCUAACUACGUG